This 472-nucleotide ribosomal RNA is filed under the name uncultured bacterium. RNAcentral describes it as "bacterial SSU rRNA". It matches the Rfam family "Bacterial small subunit ribosomal RNA", at positions 8 to 526 of the family's 1533-position model. The record is from RNAcentral.
AGGGUUUGAUUAUGGCUCAGAACGUACGCUGGCGGCACGCCUAACACAUGCAAGUCGAACGCAGUAGCAAUACUGAGUGGCAAACGGGUGAGUAUAAUGUGGGAAUCUGCCUUUUGGUUUGGAAUAACACGGGGAAACUUGUGCUAAUACCGGAUAAGCCCUUACGGGGAAAGUUUUAACGCCGAAAGAUGAGCCUGCACUUGAUUAGCUAGUUGGUAAGGUAAAGGCUUACCAAGGCAACGAUCAAUAGCUGUUCUUAGAGGAAGACCAGCCACAUUGGGACUGAGACACGGCCCAGACUCCUACGGGAGGCAGCAGUGGGGAAUCUUGCACAAUGGGGGAAACCCUGAUGCAGCGAUGCCGCGUGAGUGAAGAAGGCCUUUGGGUUGUAAAACUCUUUCGUCGGGGAAGAAAAUGACUGUACCCGAAUAAGAAGGUCCGGCUAACUUCGUGCCAGCCGCCGCGGUAAUUC